RNAcentral lists this ribosomal RNA (794 nucleotides) under Phyllosticta hostae. Its description in RNAcentral is "partial 28S ribosomal RNA". It matches the Rfam family "Eukaryotic large subunit ribosomal RNA", at positions 94 to 906 of the family's 3401-position model. The record is from RNAcentral. Lineage: Eukaryota; Fungi; Ascomycota; Dothideomycetes; Botryosphaeriales; Phyllostictaceae.
UGAAGCGGCAAUAGCUCAAAUUUGAAAGCUGGCGCCUUCGGCGUCCGCGUUGUAAUUUGUAGAGGAUGCUUCGGCGAGGACUCCUGCCUAAGUUCCCUGGAAUGGGACGUCACAGAGGGUGAGAAUCCCGUAUGUGGCGGGCGGUCCAAGCCAUGUGAAGCUCCUUCGACGAGUCGAGUUGUUUGGGAAUGCAGCUCUAAAUGGGAGGUAAAUUUCUUCUAAAGCUAAAUACCGGCCAGAGACCGAUAGCGCACAAGUAGAGUGAUCGAAAGAUGAAAAGCACUUUGGAAAGAGAGUUAAAAAGUACGUGAAAUUGUUGAAAGGGAAGCGCUUGCAACCAGACUCGCUCGCAGUUGCUCAGCCUGCCUCUUGGCGGGUGUACUCUUCUGUGAUCGGGCCAGCAUCAGUUCGGGCGGCCGGAUAAAGGUGUCGGGAAUGUAGCACCCUUCGGGGUGUGUUAUAGCCCGGCGCGGAAUGCGGCCAGCCUGGACUGAGGAUCUCGCUUCGGCAAGGAUGCUGGCGUAAUGGUUGUAAGCGGCCCGUCUUGAAACACGGACCAAGGAGUCUAACAUCUAUGCGAGUGUUUGGGUGUCAAACCCAUGCGCGUAAUGAAAGUGAACGGAGGUGGGAACCCGCAAGGGUGCACCAUCGACCGAUCCUGAUGUCUUCGGAUGGAUUUGAGUAAGAGCAUAGCUGUUGGGACCCGAAAGAUGGUGAACUAUGCCUGAAUAGGGUGAAGCCAGAGGAAACUCUGGUGGAGGCUCGCAGCGGUUCUGACGUGCAAAUCGAUCGUC